CCCGGGGCGCCCCCCGGGCGGGGCGGGGGCACGGGGGUUGGAGGGCAAGUCUGGUNCCAGCAGCCGCGGUAAUUCCAGCUCCAAUAGCGUAUAUUAAAGUUGUUGUGGUUAAAAAGCUCGUAGUUGAACCUUGGGCCUGGCUGGCCGGUCCGCCUCACCGCGUGUACUGGUCCGGCCGGGCCUUUCCCUCUGUGGAACCUCAUGCCCUUCACUGGGUGUGCAGGGGAAACAGGACUUUUNCUUUGAAAAAAUUAGAGUGCUCCAGGCAGGCCUAUGCUNGAAUACAUUAGCAUGGAAUAAUAAAAUAGGACGUGCGGUUCUAUUUUGUUGGUUUCUAGGACCGCCGUAAUGAUUAAUAGGGACAGUCGGGGGCAUCAGUAUUCAAUUGUCAGAGGUGAAAUUCUUGGAUUUAUUGAAGACUAACUACUGCGAAAGCAUUUNCCAAGGAUGUUUUCAUUAAUCAGGAACGAAAGUUAGGGGAUCGAAAACGAUCAGAUACCGUUGUAGUCUUAACCAUAAACUAU
Molecule: ribosomal RNA, 524 nt
Filed under: Paracorniculantispora psalliotae
Lineage: Eukaryota; Fungi; Ascomycota; Sordariomycetes; Hypocreales; Cordycipitaceae
Description: SSU rRNA
Rfam family: Eukaryotic small subunit ribosomal RNA
Source: RNAcentral